This 85-nucleotide microRNA precursor is filed under the name Microcebus murinus (gray mouse lemur). RNAcentral's name for it is "miRNA (ENSMICG00000044391.1)". Lineage: Eukaryota; Metazoa; Chordata; Mammalia; Primates; Cheirogaleidae. The record is from RNAcentral.
GUGGGAGGAUUGUUUGGGCUCAAGAGUUCCAGGCUGCAGUAAACUAUGAUCAUGCCACUGCACUCCAGCCUGAGUGACAGAGCAA